AUGAGAAGAUGUGCAAAACUUUCCAUGACUAAAAAAAUAGCCGUUUUGCAUCUGUAUAGUUUUGACCUAUUAAAUAUUGAACCUACCAUUUGUUAUGAGUACCAUGAGUAUAAUGCUGUUCUUAUCCUGGCUGAGUCUGGUGAAGUACUAACAAUGAGUUUGUUGGUCGGCCUUCCAGAUCUGGAGUGGAAGCUUAUAUAUGUUGGAUCAGCUGAAGAUGAGAACUAUGAUCAGCAACUUGAGAGUGUGCUUGUUGGCCCUGUGAAUGUUGGGACAUACCGUUUUGUUCUGGAGGCCGACCCCCCUGAUCCCUCAAAGAUCCGCGAGGAGGACAUAAUCGGUGUCACGGUGCUUUUGUUGACCUGUUCAUACAUGGGGCAGGAGUUCAUCAGAGUAGGCUACUACGUGAACAAUGAUUAUGAUGAUGAGCAACUUAGGGAAGAACCCCCGGCGAAGCUGCUGAUUGACCGGGUGCAGAGAAAUAUUUUGACCGACAAGCCCCGGGUCACCAAGUUCCCCAUCAAUUUCCAUCCUGAAACAAGCGGAGGACAGCAGCAAGAUCAACCACAAUCAGCUGUACCUGAAAACCCUACAGGCGAAGGGAGCAAGGCCAGCACAGAUCUUUGA
RNAcentral lists this ribosomal RNA (627 nucleotides) under Triticum aestivum (bread wheat). RNAcentral's name for it is "partial small subunit ribosomal RNA". Lineage: Eukaryota; Viridiplantae; Streptophyta; Magnoliopsida; Poales; Poaceae. The record is from RNAcentral.